RNAcentral lists this ribosomal RNA (370 nucleotides) under uncultured organism. RNAcentral describes it as "partial 16S ribosomal RNA". It matches the Rfam family "Bacterial small subunit ribosomal RNA", at positions 527 to 897 of the family's 1533-position model. The record is from RNAcentral.
GGAAGGUCCGGGCGUUAUCCGGAUUUAUUGGGGUUUAAAGGGGAGCGUAGGCUGGAGAUUAAGUGUGUUGUGAAAUGUAGACGCUCAACGUCUGACUUGCAGCGCAUACUGUUUUCCUUGAGUACGCACAACGUUGGCGGAAUUCGUCGUGUAGCGGUGAAAUGCUUAGAUAUGACGAAGAACUCCGAUUGCGAAGGCAGCUGACGGGAGCGCAACUGACGCUGAAGCUCGAAGGUGCGGGUAUCGAACAGGAUUAGAUACCCUGGUAGUCCGCACAGUAAACGAUGGAUGCCCGCUGUUGGUACCUGGUAUCAGCGGCUAAGCGAAAGCAUUAAGCAUCCCACCUGGGGAGUACGCCGGCAAACGGUGA